RNAcentral lists this ribosomal RNA (432 nucleotides) under uncultured Rickettsiales bacterium. RNAcentral describes it as "bacterial SSU rRNA". It matches the Rfam family "Bacterial small subunit ribosomal RNA", at positions 342 to 791 of the family's 1533-position model. The record is from RNAcentral. Lineage: Bacteria; Pseudomonadati; Pseudomonadota; Alphaproteobacteria; Rickettsiales.
CGGGGGGCAGCAGUGGGGAAUAUUGGACAAUGGGGGCAACCCUGAUCCAGCAAUGCCGCGUGAGUGAUGAAGGCCUUCGGGUUGUAAAGCUCUUUUGUCAGGGACGAUGAUGACGGUACCUGACGAAUAAGCUCCGGCUAACUUCGUGCCAGCAGCCGCGGUAAUACGAAGGGAGCUAGCGUUGUUCGGAAUUACUGGGCGUAAAGGGCGCGUAGGCGGUCUUAUAAGUUUGGUGUGAAAGCCCUGGGCUUAACCUAGGAAUAGCAUUGGAUACUGUAAGACUUGAGACCGAGAGAGGGAAAUGGAAUUGCGAGUGUAGAGGUGAAAUUCGUAGAUAUUCGCAAGAACACCAGUGGCGAAGGCGAUUUCCUGGCUCGGUACUGACGCUAAGGCGCGAAAGCGUGGGGAGCAAACAGGAUUAGAUACCCUCGU